RNAcentral lists this long non-coding RNA (11621 nucleotides) under Ricinus communis (castor bean). RNAcentral's name for it is "long non-coding RNA (RCOM_LNC000534)". Lineage: Eukaryota; Viridiplantae; Streptophyta; Magnoliopsida; Malpighiales; Euphorbiaceae. The record is from RNAcentral.
CGCCAUGGUUUCUUCUGCUGUAUAAUAUGUAUGUAUCACACCACUUUAAUGCCGAGGUCAACGCAACCGCAGACCAAUCUCCUGUCAAAAGGUAAAAAAUUUACUGCUUCAUCAGUUUGUAACAGUAGCUUAAUGGUAAAAUUAGAUGUUUACCUAUUUGUAGUUUCCAAUUUGUUCUGCACUUUUUUCUUCUUGGUCUAUGCUUUUCACCUCUGAUGAACCCUAACUACUUUACUUUAUGUGGAAAUAUACAUGAACGCUUCACUAAAAUGUCAACAUAAAACAAUCAAAGCUAUAAACAAGACGCUUUUUGUAGUCACCGUACUCCCUCGAUUAGGAAUUCAAAUCCUCAACGAGUACUAUGCUUCUAAAUAUAAGUUUUUAGGGCUCAUCAGAUAUCUGUGUUUGAUUCCAAAUCUAAAUUUGAAACAAAAACACAUUGAUUGAUUAACACUGCGAAAUCUAAGCCCUAGACAUAAGACUGCAGAGUGGAUUCGCUUCAAGAAUAUGAUUACCCUGAAAUCCAGCUUCUUCACUUGUUGAGAUGCUGACAUAUCCAAUUCCUAGUCGAUCCACCAAACAAUAUUUAGCAUAUGACAACUCAAGACUUAGUCAACCUACAUAUUUGCAGACACAGUCCACAUACAAAUUGAUAUUACAGGAAUGUUCUAAAUUUUGUCCUAGACACGAUUGGAUUGGACUCCUUUUUAACUAGCUAGGCGUUCGGUGUAAAUUUUUAUAUUUUAUUGCAUAGAAACUGCAAUUGAUAGUGCGACAAAACUAUAGAUGCAAUGAACUGGAUAGUCGUUCAUUGGUGCCUAUGGUGUAGGAUUUACAGUCUAGGAACAAGGUCCCAGAUUCUACUUGAUAGAUCAGACCUAUAGAUAUAUGUAGAUGAGUAAAUACAGACAGUGAGAUCAAAUACCACUUCAAAAUUAGCUCAACGAGUGCCUGUUUUCUGGACUUAAUCCCUGCUUCUCUCUCUGACUUUCCUUGAAUUUAGAGAAAAUAAAAGACAUAUAGACUCUAAGAUUUUAGUUUUGCAUAUAAAAGAGGCUCUAUUUAAGUUUUUAUGGACCGGUACUUUGUACUAAAACAAAGUUGUGAGCCCAAAUAGAACGAUGAAUUUUACUUUAGAUCAAUACUACAAGUGAAUGUAAUAGUUUCUGCCACAGUACAUGUAAUUGUUCUUAGCACCUAUGCUGUUGCAUCAUCUCAAAUUCUAGAUACAGAAGAAUUCUUAAUUUCAUGACUAUGCUACUUGGCUAACUUCUAACUCAUAUCUUCUCCAGGCUAGAGCAUGCUGCAUAUAAUUGGCAAUCCUCCUAACUUAAAAAGCAGGUUAACUUUUACUAUCCCAUUUUAUUUGAAUGAAGAUUCUGACAGCCUGUGUUUCAGGCUCAUCUUUAGCCACCCUACAAAAGCUCCAAUAUAUAUCCUCUUAGAUGCUGGGAAAAUACUACCUUCACGAUAGCCCUAAUACCAUAAGGUCUUUUUAAAAGUCAGUUAAUCUCUUCUUGUUCUCCAUCUCCCACCACCCACUUUCCAACUCUAAACCACUCACCUCCCAACAGCUUGACCAGCGAAAAAAAUUGUUUGUCCGAAGCCAAAAGGAGGUUGACUCACUUCAUUCUAGUAAUAUAAAUUGCUGUUUCAACGUUGCAAUUCAACAAAACAUAAACACUAUCAAUAUUUUACAUAAGUCAUUGCUUUGGUUUAUAAAACAUCAAUAUAAUAAUAAUAAUAAUAAUAAUAAAUGAUACCUUCUAUUUACAUGUCUCCUUGAUUUCGCCAAGAAGGGAUGAUUUAGAAGUCCUAAACCUGUAGGAAAAGCAACCUAAUAACCAGACUCAGAAGAAAACGUUGAGUGGCACCACAGAGGUUGCUGAAGGAAACAAAGACUAAAAAAGGCCAUGAUAUAAAUAACAUGUGCUCCACCUCAGUCCAUACAUCUACUGAUUCAAAGCACUCUAUCUUAUAUUUUCAUCUCACCUAACAAUUAUUUGAAUCAUUCACUUCCGGAACUCGAUUGAAUCUCCAUGCAAGAAAACAUCACAUUAUAUCCUGGCCAAUUAGUCAAAAGUGAAAAUUGAGUUUAAUACUAUUUUUUUCAAUUUCAAGAAAAGAUGAAAACACCACAAUUCAGAUUUUGUGGAUUAGAUCAAUAUUGGCCUAUUCCCACACAACUCAUGCAAAUAUAAAACUUAUUUGUGUCCUAUUGCUUGCCUUAAUUAAUAUUUAUCCAACACUAAAUAUAGCCAUGCUUCCACUUAGGCUCCUCUAGAAUACUCAGGGAAGAUUCAUCAAUAGAAAAAAGGACCUUAGUCAAAGGAAAAUAUACCAUUUGAAAAGAAGACUUUCUAGAAUUGUAAAGUCAUUUUCAAGACUUUUACUCCCAAAGGACUUAAAUUAUGACAAAAAUACAUUCAUGUAUAGAUUAGGAGGAAAAACAUCAGAUAGUCCUUAAACUGUUCUUAAGCAGCUAACUGCCUUACUCCUAUGACAUCCUAAUUCAUACAAAUGCUGUAUAGUGAAAGGUAAAAAGGGGAUAAAACAACCUUCCAAUUUGUUGGAUGAUAAAAUGAUUAAGACCUGUCAUAGUUUCACCAGAAAAAUGUAUUUAGGGAAAAUACAACAGAACUACAUAUUAAUUUAAAAAUAUAGUGAAUAAUUCUAUAUAAAGACAAAAGGAUGAUUAAAGAGGAGUAAGGGAAAUGGGAUAGUAUGAAAAAAGACCACGAAUGUUUAAGAUAUUGUUACCACAACCCUCUAUGAUGGUAGGAACCAUUUUUCAUCCAAGAAAUUGGACAGACUUCUUGGAUGAGCUUUCUAGAAGCAUUGGGUACCAACAAAAUUGGGCAACAAACUCCAAUUUGUUACCCAAUGAUGCAACUUCAACAACUCCUCUUCUUCCCUCAUCUAUCCUUACUGCCAUUCUUUCAAAAGUCAAGCACCCUAGGUGCCCUCUCCACAGCUAAGAUCAUAGAGUGAAAUAGUUGCACUACUACUUAGCAAGUGCUCAAAGAAAACAGACCUGUAUUUGGUGUUAUAUUCAAUGCACAUCACUACAAAUAGGAGUCUAGACAUUAAGGGGUGUUCAUAGAUGUUUUUCUCUCCUCUAUGUAAGACCAAAAAGCAACCAUGGGUAUCAACCACCUAUUAUUUACUUGAAGCACGCUAGCAACUUAGGUGAAAAUAGAAUAAAAUAAUAGAAGCACAAAAGUAUAGAACCACAUUUCGAAAAUGCAAAGCUAUCAAGAACAUAUUUAAGGAGGAUUCUUUAGCUGUUAACCAUAUGCAAUGAUCUUGUGAUAGGCCUUCAGCAGCCUAGUAAUUCACUAUAGAUUAGUAUUUUUAUCCAUGAAAAGAUAAGUUAUGACUCAAUUGAAUUUUCUUAAUUUUCUUUUUAUGGAUUUCCCCUUUUGCCUUACGUUGACCUGGUUAGGGGGUUUAAUCAAUAAUUAAAUGGAAAUUAAUUAAAUUGGUAAAAUAUUUUAGUGAAUUAAUUUACUUUUUUAAGUUCAUAUACCAAAGAAGAAUAGCAUCUUAAAUGAGUUUAAAUCUAAUAUUUAGAUGAUAAUUGCUUUUAGAACACGUCUAGAUCUUAACCUCUUAAUAUGUAUUACCUACCAGGUUAUUUUCAAUUGAUGUCACGAGUUCCUCCUUAAACCCUUGUAAAUAUGUACAAGUAGAAAACACAUAGUAUAAAAAUCUUAGUAUUUUAUACAUUUAAUUCAUGUUCCUAGUUACUAGUUUUUGACUUUGUUUCAAAUAACCAAAUGUGAUACAAAGUCAUUGCCUUAAUUAAUUGAACAUAGGCUGGAGAUUAUGGAAGUCAUACCACUUUCUAGCUUCUCCUAUGAUUUUAUCUUUUUUCUUUUCACGCUUUUAAGUAUUUUUCAUUAACAUGUAACUUUUACAAGUAUAUUGACAAAGAAACUGAAGCUUUAACAAACUUUAUAUUGACAAUUAAUUACAUGUCUCAUCAACUUCUUUCAUAUUUAUAGGCAAAGCCUAUUAGAUAGAUCAAUAUUUACCUGAAUUGGAUUUACUAAGAUAAAAUAAAAACACAAAAUACCUACCUGAAGUUGGCUACAUUUGUCAACACCAAAAAGACCCUUUUAAAACCAAAUUGAGAAAUUAGCAUGGGACCAAAUCAUCAUAAGCCUUAAUUACCUAUUAGGAUAUUCAAAGAGAGAGAUUGAAUUAUAAAUUAUGCAUAAAUGCAAAUUGCAACAAUGAGUAUAAUGUACAAAUUUCACUCUUCCACACGACAGCCUUUGCCACAAAAUUCACAUUUAUCAUGAAUUCAAGCUAUUUCAAUCCCUUUCUAUUCCCCUUUAAAGAAACUUUACCAAAAAAGGAAAUAAAAAUGCAAAAUUUGCCACCCUAAAGAAGAAAAAUAUAAAUGCUAUAGUAAAAAUCCUUGUACCUUGUCAAAUGAUGAAUUACCGUGCACGCCGCGGAACAUUUCUAUUUUCUCUGUAAACUAAUUGACAUGCCCGAAUCAGAAUCUGCAAUGAGAUUUUAGAAAUCUAUAGGUUACUUUGAUUCUCCCCAUAAAAUAUAUGUUUGGUUAAACUGUAGAAGAUCAUACUAUAUGGUCAAUAGAUGAUUAAUGAACUUUGCGCUUAGCUUUAUUUACUUUAGUUAUAUUUCAAUUUAAUCAUAUUUACAAAUGAAAAUUAAUAUGUAGCAGAAAUAGCCAAUGCAAAAAAAAAAAAAAAAAAGAACGACCUAAUAUGAUUAGAGUAUCAAAUUAAAAUAGAAUAAUUGAAAUAAAACAAUUUAAAGUUUUGCGAUCAAAAUGGAAUUAAAUGUAAAGUUUAAUGACUAUUUGUAUCAUUAUUCCUCACUUUCUCAUAGGAAACAUAAUGAUCAAAGCUUUCCACAAGCUGCCUAAACCAAGUACCUAUGCCCAAAUUAGAGGAGGAUGCAAUGAUGUCAUCGUUCAAUGGUGUAAGUUCUUCAAAAUCAACAUUGGAUAUUAAUUAAUUUCUUUGUGUAACCAUACAUGUGAAAUGAAGAUCUUUUAAGAUGAGAAAAUAACAAAAUAAGAUUCGAAUUGACAUGUAUACCGAGAAAGGAAGCAAACCAGUAAUAGGAUAACAAACUGCAGAAUACAAUUAAAGUACGUAAUAGAAGAGAGAAAACAUAAGUGAGAUCAAUCAAGUGCUACAUGUGCAUGCAAUACAGAAUCUGAUUUUUUAGAGUACUUUCUGACCUGCGUGAUAAGGUUUCUUUUUUUAAAAUACCCUUCGUUCCGUGAGUUGACGAUUCCUUAUAAGGAUCUAUCAUCCAUGCGUAUCUGCAAAAACUAGAAGCACACAAGCAAAGAGAAAGCAGACGCAGAGAUUUCCCUUCCAUGGAAACUACCGUACCCAAUCUAGAGCCCCUCCUGCCUACUAUGCACCCAAAAUAUCACACCAAAUAAAAUAUCCUGAUGCAUACGACUAAUAUGUUGCACGAAAUAAAGAGAAAAAGAAAAAGGAUAUCUUAUCAAAACCCACAUCAGAUCAGUAAGAGUAUGUGCAAAUGACAAUAUAAAUUAGAACAAAAACAAAACAAAUCGGUGCACUAGUAAUACAAGCAACCCUAUUCUAGGUAGAAUAGGGUUUUUUGAAAUCCAUAAAGAAAAAGAAAACCCACUAGAGAUUCUUGAUAGAUUCAGGUGAAAACAAAGUCCAAUGAGAAACAAAUCUCGAGCGAUACAUAAUCACAUGCGCAGGUGCAUAUUAAAAAAUGGGGGAAUGCAAGUGCAAAGAUGACAAUGAUAAAGAUCGAGAAACCAAAACUGAAGAAAGGGUUUUUGCAAGUAAGGACCAUACUAGAAGACUUAGAUAACGUGAAUCAAAAAUCUCAUAAUACUAUAUUUAUGCUGUUUUGCCGCUAAAUCUGCAUAGUAAUCACGCCUAACUGUUAAGCAGACACCAGCAAAAGCCACGCUUUAAAUAUAAUUUGAUGGCAUAAACCAAUCAAAUUCAAACAUAUCACAUCCUUCUGUUGGCACCCUCAACGUGUAGCCUUCUUCCCCUAGCUGUUGGUACCUCAACGUCUGUAAUCUUCUUCCUUUUGCGAAGCAAGUAGAGAGCUGUUGAGAAUAGAUAGAAUAAAGGGAAGAAGUGGUAUCAAUCUGGAACAGAAACAGGCCAGGAAAUAAGUGACCAUAGAGAUCAUAUUCCGGCGCUGGAAGCUUGACAGAAAGAGAAGUGAGCACGCAAAAGCAAGGGUAUAGAUUUAUACAAAUGCCUCUGUGUGCUCACUCUCUUCUGUCAAUUUCUAUGUCUCCCAGAAGAUCAUUGGAAGAUGAACGAAAAAAGAAUAAAAAAGAAAGAAUCUAAAGAGAACCUAUAUGUACAACCAGAAAUGGAAAAAUAAAACAAAAUAAGCAUAAAAUGUACAAAAGAAUGGAGUCAGAUCUGAGAACACAGUGACACCCAUUUUGGGUAAGUUACCAAAAAUCUGAUUCACGCUCUUUUUUCUGCAAGAAUGAAAGGCUUUAAUGAGGAUUUUUAGGGUUUUAUUGGGACCAAAAAAGAAUUCAGUCCACCAGAAAGUAAGUCAAGAAAACCCCUCUCUCUCUCUCUCUCUCUCUCUCUUUCUCUUUCCGUUUCUUUCUUUCGUUCUUUACAAAUUAAACACCAUAUAUAUUCAAUCACUCCAUCUCUAUCUCUUUUUUUUCCCCCUUUCCUUACACUCUCUAUCUAUGUAUCUAUCUCUCUCUGUCAUGCAAGACGUACAGGUGUCGGUGACGCGAACAAGUGUCCUUUAUAAUCUGAACAAAUCUAACAGUGAGAACGCGCAACCACUCAUGAAUAAGGAACGGACGAUAAUUGCUCCAGAAUCAUUUCUUUUUUGUUUUGUUUUGUUUUUUUCCUCCCUCGAGAAAAGAAAACAUAAUCAAGAAAUCAAGAAAGAAGAUGAAAAGAUUCAAAGAAAAAGAAUCGUAAAAAUGGUUGAUUUCUAUAUUUUCUCGUUGUUCUGGUUUAGUUUCUCUAUACACAAGUUGAGGUGAGUGGUCAUUUUCGUGGUAAGACAGACUGCACGAAAGAGAGCUUUUUCAAGAAACAAAAGAAGAGAGAGAGAGAGAGAGAAGCAUAUGGAGUCAUAGAGAGUGUCUGUGUUAUGUACUCCUGUAUGGAUGUGAUUGGUUGGUUGAGAUUGUUUGAAGUACGUUUUGCUUUCAUGAGCCUGUCAUAUAGGAUUGACGUUUGGCCGUCUGAUUCUUGGUCCUAUUCCCUGCCGUUGGAUUGUACUGGGUGACGGUGGGGAGAUGCAAAUUCGUUUUUUUCCUUUUACUGCUUCAAGUCCUAGCAACAACAUUGACAUUUCGCAGCAAUUAUGAAGCUUCAGAUAUGUGUAAUUUUUCCUUGUCCAAAUGAUAAAAAGACUUGGGAGUAUCCCAUUAUUCAUUCGCCAAUUUACAUGGAGACUACCCAAAAACAAUUUCUCUAUUUUUCUAUUUCUUUUCUUUAACAUUAAACAAGCAAAACUUUCGUCCCCAAGUGGGGGUUUGGAUAGUCUUGGGAAUUGAGCCUUGAUGCCGAUGCUGAUGCGACUGCGUCACUAAGGGAAACAAGUCUAAUCUCUGGCCGUUUGAGUCUUCUCUCUGCAUCCCUUCUCUUUUCCACUUGCUGCUUGGCGCAUAAUAAAAUAUUUUUCAAGACAAACUCAAAACUUCAUGAUAAAUUAGCAAAUCAUUUCUUCUUUAAUAGGUUAUGGCUUCUAUUUCUAUAGUUUUGUAUCAAAAUUCUAACCCUAUUCAAUUAACUUUCACUGUCUGACACUAGCACAUUCAAACACUUUUACUAGAUGAUGAACAAAAUAUGAAGGAAUUCUUAACACCUGAUAGUAUAGAUGCAAAAUAACACCAAACUAAAUCUUCUUAAGAGAAAGAAAAAAAAGGGGUAAAACAACUAAGAUUUUAAAGUUAAUUGGAGCAUUGAAGUGGUCAGAAUAUAUUUACUUUCAAAAUAAGAGGUUUUGAUUAAUAUUUUCCUCCAUUUUAACCGGUAAAUGUCUUUUUAUUUUAACUAAAUUCUUGAAUUUGAUCUUAAAUAUAUAAUUCUUUUAAAUUUUUGAGAUAAUACUUUGUCAUAAGAAGCUAUCAUAUCCCAACUGGGCCAGACUUUUUUUGGGAUUCCACCGUAAAUUUUUUAUCCUGGAUUAACUUUGUAUAUGUAUAUUACAAAAAAAUAUAAUAUUACUUUAUUAAUUUGUGGUAAAUGUAGAUGGCUAUUUAUUAUUAUGUAGUGUACAGGUUCCAUGAAUUAAAACAAAAAACAAAGCUAAUGGAAAAUGUGGUCGAAAGGGUAAUGUUGGGAGGUGUAGAAAAUGGGAAGAAGAAGAGGGACAGAUCAAGAAAAGAAGACUGAUGUUUAAACUUUAAAGUAUAGAGCCUUUGCCCAUUAAUGGAGCACAGGGAAAGGGUCACCUUUAAACCUGUCCAAGGUGCAUCUAUUUAUUUUCUUAUACAGUAUAGUGGGCGGGGACCGACCGUACACUAUUAAUAAAAAUAUAAUACUGAUUUCUUUUUUUCUUUUCUCUUGUUUUCUUCUUCUUCUUUUUUUUUUUAUUUUUUUUAUUUUUCAUUUUUCAAAUUUAAGCCUGCAUGGCAUUGUAAAUUUUUAUCAUUAGAAAUUUUGAAGCAUUGACAUUAUGUCUUUAUUUUUAUUUUUUUAAAAAAGAACAGUGACUGUUGUUAGUCAUUUGUAUUUCAAUGAAAUCUCUCUCUCUAUAUAUAUAUAUAUUAAUUUAUGAAAUGUACAUUUUUUUUAUCAUGUAUGUUUAAUUUUUGAUAUAUAAAAUUUCUGUUUUGACAUGUGUACUUACUUUUGAUACAUGAGAUUCAAAUUUAUGUUAAUUUUAUAAUUUUUUUCUAUUAAUUUAUUGAUUAAUAACUUACAUUCUAAUUAAAUACAAACUCUAAUUCUAAAAAUAGCACAUUAAUUAUAUUUUAAUAUUAUAAUACCUAAUAAAAUAAUUUUUUAAUAAGAUAAUGAUAUAAAUUUUAUUUUAAAAAAUAAAAUAUUAAUUAUAUUUUAAUAUCAUAUUAAUUAACAAAUUAGUUUAAUAAUUAGAUAAUAAUUCUAAUCUAGAAAACAACAUUUUAAAUUAUAUUUUAAAUUAUAUUCAAUAAUAAAUACAAUUCUUACUCUCAAAAAAAUAGUAAUUUCAAUUAUAUUGAUAUAUUAAUCUAUAUAAUAUUAAUUAAUUUCUAAAAUAAUUUUUAUAUUAUUAUAUUAAUAAAAUCUUAAAAUUUUAAAAAAAUGAAGAAUAUUUGAAAAUAGUUAGUUUGUUAUUAUUUUUUAAAAAAAUUUAUUACAUUACAUCUAUCAAUUUAAUUUUAUAAUCAAAAUAAUAAUAAUAACCGUGCAACGAGUUACCUAUUAAAUUUCUUGCAUUAUAACAUAUUGAUAUACUUUGCUUUAUAAUUUUGUUAUGUACCAAGCCGUAUUUCAUGGCAAAUUAAAAUGAAAGUUAAGUUUAGUGACAUAAAUGAAAUGAAUUUCAUCUUUAAAUAAUUAAUUUAAUAUGCCAACAACUAAUCUAUAAAAUGGCAUCCUUAGGGGUUUACAGUUUCUGAUUCUAUACUUGUAAUGAGUUUAAUAAUGUGUCUCUAAAUAACUAUGCAAAAUGAUAAAAAAAUAAUAAUAAUACAAAGAAACUGGAAAAAGAAAUGAAUUUAUGGGGAGCAGAGACCACGCCCUUAAAGCUCCAAAUGACCCACACAUCUAACUUCCCUUGCCUCAUUUAAAUACAACUUCAGGGUAUAGAGAUGCAUGGACCACACUCCUUCUAUUUUCAACCUUACGUACCUCAAUCUCAUGUUCAAGAGACAAAGGGCCAUUUUAGUUAACCCUACCUCUUUUUUUUUUUUUUUCAGUUUUAAUGCAUAAAAUCAAGUUGUCAGUAUUUAUUAAUUAAUGUUUUCUAUAGAUUGGCGGUCCAUUAUGAAACUAAAUUGUUUUAGGAAUAUCAUACAAGUUUUAAGUUAUUUUUAUCUAAAUGUGGGUAUAUGCCUCUCUCCUUUCUUAUUGUAUGACCUAUUAUUUUUAAUAGAUUCAAAUACUGAUGGAUUAACAAAUGCAAUCAACUUGUUGAAACAUUGAGAGGAAAUUGUAAUUACUUUUGUUAAAAAACCAUAAUUAAAGAUCGAGUGGUUAAUAAAGUAUACUAUAUGUUACUGUCUCAGCUGCAAAGACAAGAGUCCUCAGUGCUUCUCUCUCACCUAUCCCCACACUCCAUGUCACUAGGAAACUUUGACUAGAUAAUCAAGACAAUUGGGGAUCUCAACCCCAUGUGCCAAGUGUCAGUUUGCAUNNNGGUGGACAAGAAAACAAUAACUUCAUUUUCAUUUCUAUGUAUUGUCACAGCCCAAUUUUGGUAAGCCGUAAUCACAAAAGAACUUUUAGAAAUUUUGAUAAAAGCCAUACUCUUUUUUUCCCCUUUGAUUUUGGUGGACUGUUCCUUAUCUUUUAAUUAAUAUCAGAAGGCUUACAUUCUCACUUACUCUAACAAGGAUUAAAAAGAAAAAGAAAAAAGGAAGUCAUUAACAGGUGGGUGCAUUUAUAUGUGAGCCAAAAAAACUGCCCACAUGUUAUAUAGGUUCUCAAGGCGUAUGGACCACAGAAAUUUGAGAUUAAUUAUCCCAGUAUUAUGAUGGCUUUUUAGGCAAAAUAUGUUAUUGAGAAUUAAUAAUUAAUCCAUGUUUGUAGUUAAACUUAUGUGAGUGUGAUUAAUCAAUCGUGCAUUUUGAGUUGCAAAUAUUAAAAUAGCAGCUACUGUAGGAUUGCCCUAAAUUGUUCAAGAUUGAUGAUAUUUUGCUAUGAACUUCUCCUAACAGUUGCCUAACACCUUCUGUAUGUUGAGCUCGAUCUUCCGAAUCCGAAUCAUCCUGUAAAUAUUGCAGAAACUAGGCAGCUUGACUAGGCUUCUUCUUACUCUCUUUGUUUCGACAAUUAUUUGGAAACUCACUUGUUUGUUAUCAAAACAAUCAAGACAAAGCUUUCUAAAAUGUAACUUUAUCUCUUGUAUGAUUGUUUUUAACUGUGAGUAUUUAAAGUUGAUAUUUUGAUUUAGAAUCUUUCUCGGUCUUAAUUUUUUUUUUAUUAUUUAUAUUGGUAAUGUUUUUAUGAUUAAACUUUAUAUUCAACACUUUUAUACAUUAUUUAUUAGAGUAGAAUAUUAAUAUGCAUUUUAUAUUCAUAUGUAUUUGAAUGUUACUUCUCUUUUUCUUCUUGUGUAUUUUGAUGUUUUUUUUGAAUGUAUUUUGGUGAGCUGGCCUCUUAUAAAAAAUAUUUAAUAUUUUUACUACAUUUUAUAACAUAAAAUAUGUCAGUGGUUUUAUCAUCGUUUAUUAACGCGGUGAAUAAUAAUACUUAUUAUUAUUAUUUUAGUUAUAAAUAAUUAUGUAUAAGAAAUAUAAAAAGUAAAUAAUAAAUAAGAUAUUUUUAAUAUACUGUAGGAAAUAUCUGCUUAUUAAUUUUUUUAAUUUUCUCCAGAAGCAUUGAUGCAGCCUGCAGCGCUGUUUGAAGGGAAGGGAUGGGUAGGUAACUGGUCCUUGUCACGUCAAUAGCCUUUGAUUUUGGCAAUUGUCAUCCUCCUGCUUUCCUCGCAGA